UAUGAGAACUGUAAAUACCUGCAGACAUUUUCUCUUUCCUAUUCUAAAACUUACUAAAAUUUUAGAUACAGGAAUUCUCUGUUGAAAACAAAUAUAUAUAUGUAUAGAUAGAUACACACAUGUAUAUAUAUAUGAAAUGUGAGAAAAAAUAUAUAUAUAUUCCUUUGAUGUCUUUAAUAUUUAGUUUAAAAACUUUAAGGAAAUCAUAAAACUUUUAAAUUUCAACUCUAAGAUUAUAUGGGCAGUUAAGUUUAAAUAUAGAGCAUAUAUUUCUUCAGUUAAAAGGAAGUGUGUAUUUACUGCUGUUCAAUUAGAAAAAGCAAUUAACACCUGCCUAAUGAUAAGCUACACUGUUUUUUAUUUUUAGAUUUUCAAAAUAGAGCUUGCCCAUAAGGACAUCUACCUACUGGGGAACAUAGAAUUAUUUUGAAAAGUUUGUUAAGAAUUGGCCGAUUACUUGACUUAAGGAUUUAAUUCAGCAUGAAUAAACAAAAGAAAGAAAAUGUAUAUUUGCUUGUGUUCAAGUCUGAAAUUAAGCUUUGGUCUACAGUUAAAUUAAUACAGCCCUGAGAACACCUUGUCUUAACUUCCUAAAAAUUAAUUUUGAGAAAUAGAUUUAAUAGUACCAAGGUACAUUGUUGUUAUAAUGAAGAAGGCGAGAAUGGUUUUUAUUACCUUAAUUGACGCGCUUUUAUAAAACGUCAUUUGCAUCUGGAUUCUAAAGGGAACGUGAAUUAUUUUUGCACAAUUAUGAUUUGGAGUCAUAUUGAAAUAUUAAAAAAUUUUCAUCCUUUUAUUCUUAAUUGAAUUCCAAUGCAGUAACUUCAAAACAAUGGAAAUAGCAUGAGGCCAGAAAGGGGAAAGGGAGUAGUUGACACUUUGCAUACCACCAGUAAGAUGGAAUAGGAGGGAUGCUACAAUUAUAGGAUGCUACUAAAUAUGAAAAUUUAUUCAUUAAUUCAGCAUUUAUACGCUGAACAUCUACUGUGUGUCAGCUAUCAAGUAUGUAAUGAUGAGUGAAGAAAAAAAAAAAUAAUCAACCCAAAAAGAAAUAAUACUGUCAUGUAGAUUAUAGCAUUAAGAUUAUCCAAAACUUAACAAACAUUCUACAAAUAGAUGUGAAAUUAAUUACAAGUGUUAAAGUGUUAUUAGUGCUACAAAAGAAAGGUAAUGUUUCACGAGAUCAUAGGCUAGUCAACUUAACCUUGUAGAAAGAUCAAGGAAGUCUUCCCAAGGAACUAAAUGAUACUUUCAUUAUCUUUGCUUUACCUGUGAAGAGCUGAAGUACAGUUAAAUAACUUGCUAAAGUUUUCACAACUGCUAAGUGAUAAAGACAGGACUGGGAUCCAUGCACUGGUGCCAGAGCCUACAAUAUUAACCCCUCUAAUACACUGUCCCCCACUGAAUUCCUAACUGUAACGUCAAGAGGAGUUUAUUAGGCAAGCUUCAUCAGGUUGACUAAGCAACGGUCAUCAAGGGAACAGUAAAGAUAGUUUAGGAGAGAAGAAUAAUUAGAAUUAUAAUAACUCAAAUAUGCAGCAACCUCACACAUUAGGAAAGGCAAAAUAAAAAGAAAAAGAAAUAAAUGUAUAACUAGCCUUGAAUCUAGUUUAUGGAAAUAAGUAGUUUUCAUCUAACAGUCUGCAUAGGAAACUACGUAAGCUCAAUUCACGGAAUGAAGAUAAAUGGUUAUUAAAAAUAAUCCUCAUCUAUGACAGAAUACUUGGCACCCACUCCCAAUCAUAUCAUUUAAAGCUAAAUUACUGAAAGCAUGUCAUUUGUCUUUGAAUUUCAGUUUUAUUAAUUGUAUAAUGGCAAUUGAAUUACCUUUCCUGGAAUUAACGGUAGACAGUCUUUUCCCCACAUUAUUCUGAAAUUGAUUUUGCUUUGAAGAUAACAUGUACACUUACAUUGUGUUUCUGUUUCAUGGAAAUCUAUUGUUAAUGCUAAAUAUUUUAAAAUAAUGUUUUCAUUCAUUAAUUCAACAAAUACUUAUAAAAUUCUAUUGAAGAUACGGGACAAAAUUAAGAGAGGCAUAAUUUUGGAGCUUAUAUUCUGUAGGAGGAGAAAGAAAAUUAACAAGUAGACCAAGCCAAGUAUAAAUACAAUUUAUGUUUAUAAUUGAAUAUGGAACAUGCAGAAACCAUUCUCAAAUGGAUAACUCCAGUCUGGGUGGAAAUCAAACAUUUCUUGCCCCAAUGUACCAAUGAGAGUGUACCAUAAUAAUGUGUAAAUAUUCCUAAUAAAAUAUGAAUAAUAGUGUAAGUAAUAUUUGCUUCAGUCCUUCAAUUUCUUAAUCGAAUACACUAAAGAAUAAUUGUGGAUCUUUAAUUUCUACAUUUUACAUUUACUUUGCUGAAUAAUUAUAUUUAUAAUAUUACCAAUAUUUAAUAACCUACUCUACUGUAGUGGGGCUUCUACAGUAGGAAAGCUAAGAUUGUAAAUCCUAUUAUAAAGUUUUGUUUUUCCCUUAAGCAAAACAACUCCUAUAUUUUUUGUGUAAACUCAUUUUUCUACAAUAAUUGGAUGUUUUAAAGAGACACAGUUAUUCUUCUGGUAUUUUCUAUUUUAUUUUUUCACUGCAAAUUCAUCACCUCAUUCUGUUGACCGAAUCAAAUUUAUUAAUAAUGUAUCACCUGGGCUCUCAGUAAUUUUUAACAUGUCAAUAUUUUCCAGUAUUUCUAGUAAGUAUGCUUUACCAGAAGUAUACAUAUUUUACAGUUUUUCUUUGCUUCUUAAAUUUUCCUUUAUUUAUUUUCAGAAGUCUUUUUCUUUUCACUGAAAAAGUCAACCAUGGUUUAUGGGUCAGAUUAAAUUUUUACUUAAAGGAGGUCUUUCCUAGUUACCUAAUUUAAAUUGAAAUCCACCCAGAUUGUUCUGUUUUAUUGUAUCCUAAUGUUUUCCUUCGUCUAUCACAUUUCAAAAGUAUUGCUUAUGUAAGUCAAUGUUUUAGCAUACACUUUUCCUACCACUUGGAGUCUCAUGGUCCCAGUGACUACGUGGGUUUUGUUCACUGAUACAUGCCCAGUUUUUAGCACAGUGCCUUGUACAGAGUAUGAAAUAUUUUUCCUGUAAAGAAAUGAGUGUUGGAUGUUACAGUUUGUGAUAAUAAGGAAAAUCCUACCCUUCAUUUGUUACUUUCUCUUGCAUAAGAAAUACUUCACAAUUAUUUACCUUAAUUCUUAUCUCAAUUCUAAUAUGCAUGCUGGUUUGUGCCAUUGCUAAGCUCUUUUAAUUGCAAAAGACAAGAAUAUUUGUUUUUAACAGAGUAAUUUGUUAUGAUUCCAUAUCCUCCAACAGUGUCAUGGUACAAACAUAAAAUAUAAUAGAGAAAAAUGACCAACUUUUAUCUUCUUAUUCUAGUUUGUAUCUCCUUGUGAAUUAAUUUUAGAACUCAAAACUUAGAUAAAAGUAUCUAUGGAGAUUUCUUUCUUUUCAUUUUACUUUACCUAAUUUUAUUGGCUUGAAAGACCUCAUUGUGCUUAAUUAAUAUCAGUGAUCAAAUCUAUUAUGUUCACUUUCACUAUGUAGGUCUUUAAGGGGUACCAACCGCUCAAAUAGUCAAAAACUCCAUGUAUAACUUUUGACUACCCCAGAGAGUUAACUACUAAUAGCCUAUUAUUGACUGUAAGCCUUACCAAUAACAUAAACAGUCAAUUAACACAUAUUUUCUAUGUGAUAUGUGUUAGAUACAGUAUUCUUACAAUAAAAUAAACUAGAGAAAGGAACAUAUUAUUAUGAAAAUCAUAUGAGAGAGAAAAUAUGUUUACUAUUCAUUAAGUGGAAGUGAGUCAUUACAAAAGUCUUCAUUUUUGUCAUCAUGUUGAGUUGGCUGAGGAGGAGAGGAAGAGGAAGGAUUGGUUUUGCUGUCCCAGGGGUGGCAGAGGGGGAAGGAAAUCUGCAUAUGAAUGCAUUCAUGCCAUUCAAACCUAUGUUGUUCAAGAGACCACUGUAAAUUAAAAAGGCAUCAGAUUUUU
RNAcentral lists this long non-coding RNA (3977 nucleotides) under Pongo abelii (Sumatran orangutan). Its description in RNAcentral is "lincRNA". Lineage: Eukaryota; Metazoa; Chordata; Mammalia; Primates; Hominidae. The record is from RNAcentral.